RNAcentral lists this ribosomal RNA (437 nucleotides) under uncultured bacterium. RNAcentral's name for it is "bacterial SSU rRNA". It matches the Rfam family "Bacterial small subunit ribosomal RNA", at positions 918 to 1349 of the family's 1533-position model. The record is from RNAcentral.
GGCCCGCACAAGCGGUGGAGUAUGUGGUUUAAUUCGAAGCAACGCGCAGAACCUUACCCAGCCUUGACAUCUUCGGAAUCCCUGCGAAAUCAGGGAGUGCCUCCUUACGGAGGAAUCGAAUGACAGGUGCUGCAUGGCUGUCGUCAGCUCGUGUCGUGAGAUGUUCGGUUAAGUCCGGCAACGAGCGCAACCCCUAUCGUUAGUUGCUACCAGUUCGGCUGGGCACUCUAGCGAGACUCCCGGUGUUAAACCGGCGGAAGAUGGGGAUGACGUCAAGUCCUCAUGGCCCUUAUGGCUGGGGCUACACACGUACUACAAUGGUGACUACAGAGGGCAGCGAGACCGCAAGGUGGAGCCAAUCCCAAAAAGGUCGCCUCAGUUCGGAUUGGAGUCUGCAACUCGACUCCAUGAAGUUGGAAUCGCUAGUAAUCGCGGAU